AAAGCUUGCUUUUUACGGACGUCGACCGGCGCACGGGUGAGUAUCGCGUAUCCAACCUGCCCUUUACUUGGGAUAACCCGUUGAAAGACGGACUAAUACCCAAUAUAAUCCUUUGAUGGCAUCUAACUAGGAUUAAAGGUUUAGCGGUAAGGGAUGGGGAUGCGUCUGAUUAGGCAGUUGGCGGGGUAACGGCCCACCAAACCGACGAUCAGUAGGGGUUCUGAGAGGAAGGUCCCCCACAUUGGAACUGAGACACGGUCCAAACUCCUACGGGAGGCAGCAGCC
RNAcentral lists this ribosomal RNA (285 nucleotides) under uncultured Prevotella sp. RNAcentral's name for it is "partial 16S ribosomal RNA". It matches the Rfam family "Bacterial small subunit ribosomal RNA", at positions 69 to 355 of the family's 1533-position model. The record is from RNAcentral. Lineage: Bacteria; Pseudomonadati; Bacteroidota; Bacteroidia; Bacteroidales; Prevotellaceae.